RNAcentral lists this ribosomal RNA (458 nucleotides) under Theileria annulata. Its description in RNAcentral is "SSU rRNA". It matches the Rfam family "Eukaryotic small subunit ribosomal RNA", at positions 486 to 984 of the family's 1831-position model. The record is from RNAcentral. Lineage: Eukaryota; Apicomplexa; Aconoidasida; Piroplasmida; Theileriidae.
CGGGGCUUAAAGUCUUGUAAUUGGAAUGAUGGGAAUUUAAACCUCUUCCAGAGUAUCAAUUGGAGGGCAAGUCUGGUGCCAGCAGCCGCGGUAAUUCCAGCUCCAAUAGCGUAUAUUAAAAUUGUUGCAGUUAAAAAGCUCGUAGUUGAAUUUCUGCUGCAUUGCUUGUGUCCCUCUGGGGUCUGUGCAUGUGGCUUUUUUCGGACGGAGUUUCUUUGUCUGAAUGUUUACUUUGAGAAAAUUAGAGUGCUCAAAGCAGGCUUUCGCCUUGAAUAGUUUAGCAUGGAAUAAUAAAGUAGGACUUUGGUUCUAUUUUGUUGGUUUUAGGUACCAAAGUAAUGGUUAAUAGGAACAGUUGGGGGCAUUCGUAUUUAACUGUCAGAGGUGAAAUUCUUAGAUUUCUUAAAGACGAACUACUGCGAAAGCAUUUGCCAAGGAUGUUUUCAUUAAUCAAGAAC